RNAcentral lists this ribosomal RNA (443 nucleotides) under uncultured bacterium. RNAcentral's name for it is "partial 16S ribosomal RNA". It matches the Rfam family "Bacterial small subunit ribosomal RNA", at positions 338 to 795 of the family's 1533-position model. The record is from RNAcentral.
CCUACGGGUGGCUGCAGUGGGGAAUAUUGGGCAAUGGAGGAAACUCUGACCCAGCAACGCCGCGUGAAUGAUGAAGGUCUUCGGAUUGUAAAGUUUCUUUCUUAGGGGAGAAGAAUGUGACGGUACCUUAGGAAUAAGCCUCCGCUAACUACGUGCCAGGAGCCGCGGUAAUACGUAGGAGGCGGUCGUUAGGCGGAAUGACUGGGAGUAAGGGUUGCGUAGGUGGUUUGGCAAGUUAGUAGGGUAACUCCGAGGCUCAACCUUGGAACUACUACUAAAACUGUUGGACUUGAGUGCAGGGGAGGCAAGCGGAAUGCCUAGUGUAGCGGUGGAAUGCGUAGAUAUUAGGAGGAACACCAGUGGCGAAGGCGGGUUGCUAGACUGUAACUGACACUGAGGCACGAAAGCGUGGGGAGCAAACAGGAUUAGAUACCCCAGUAGUC